RNAcentral lists this long non-coding RNA (797 nucleotides) under Cyanistes caeruleus (blue tit). RNAcentral's name for it is "lncRNA (ENSCCEG00000000092.1)". The record is from RNAcentral. Lineage: Eukaryota; Metazoa; Chordata; Aves; Passeriformes; Paridae.
UAUACUGCAAAUUCAUCCACCAUGGGCUCCUCAAGGUGGCCUCUGACUUGCUUUGAAUUUGUGCAGGUAAAAGAUUUCACUGCAAGGACCAAAUGAAUGUCACAGAAGACCUCACAAGUACAGAGUGGAAAGAUUUUGUAGGUUCUAGCUAUCAGAUGAACUCCCAUGGGAAAUUCAAACUGAGAAGGUACAACAAGAUCAACAAACAAUGCUGACUUGCAUAAGAACUGGAAAAACCACAGCAAAACCCAUGAAAACAGAGGACUGCUGAGCUACAAGAAAAUGAAGGGUACAAGGAAUGACUGCAGGAAAAAUGAGGGUUCAGAAUCACAGUUAUCCUGCAGGCUCUCCAUCACAGAGGAGAGGCCAACAUCUCCACCAGGAAAGGACAGUGCUGGUACAGAAGCAGAUGGCUCCUGUUUGACCAAGAGAGACGUGAUUCAGCACCUGUCCCUGGGCAGAAGAAACUCAUUUGGCAGAGGGCUGCAGCAGAGCCUUGAGCAGGCUGGUACAGGCACCCUCCUGUCAGAGAGCAGCUCCUCUGCAAUGCAGCUGAUCUCCAAGGGUGCACACUGGUGCCAAAUUGCCUAUGGCCAGAUUCAUAGCUAAGAUUCAGUGUGCAUUUGCUUGAUUUAUUUUGUUUUCCAUUACAUUCUUGCUGCUCUUUUUUUUUUUCCAGACAGCAGCCUAUGAUUUUAAUGGGAUGUGCCUUGUUAAAUGCUGUUUAACACUCUGAAUGCACCCACAGGAUCUAUUUUGCCUAUUUUAAAGUGAUGCUAUAAAGUUUCUAAAUCCAU